GCCCUCCUACGGGGGGCAGCAGUGGGGAAUAUUGGGCAAUGGGCGCAAGCCUGACCCAGCAACGCCGCGUGAAGGAAGAAGGCUUUCGGGUUGUAAACCUCUUUUUUCAGGGACGAAGCAAGUGACGGUACCUGACGAAUAAGCCACGGCUAACUACGUGCCAGCAGCCGCGGUAAUACGUAGGUGGCAAGCGUUAUCCGGAUUUAUUGGGUGUAAAGGGCGUGUAGGCGGGAAUGCACGUCAGAUGUUAAAACUAU
RNAcentral lists this ribosomal RNA (257 nucleotides) under uncultured bacterium. Its description in RNAcentral is "partial 16S ribosomal RNA". It matches the Rfam family "Bacterial small subunit ribosomal RNA", at positions 333 to 604 of the family's 1533-position model. The record is from RNAcentral.